Molecule: unclassified non-coding RNA, 481 nt
Filed under: Hevea brasiliensis (rubber tree)
Lineage: Eukaryota; Viridiplantae; Streptophyta; Magnoliopsida; Malpighiales; Euphorbiaceae
Source: RNAcentral
GGCAUGCAAGAAAACAAGUUCCCAAAAUUUCAUUUAUUCUUUAUACAAAAUUACUUUUAUGUUCUGAAAACAUCACCAUUUAUACACAAGGUUCCUCUCUUACUAAUUUGGUGUUUACCUCUUAACACAUAAGAACUGAUGAGAUUAAAAACCAACACCGGUUGGGAAAAUCUGUCUUGUCUUGAAAUUUAUAUAGCCAUCAACUUAACAAAUAACGCAGGCAUUUGGAUUCUCCUCCAUGCUUUGAACGUAGUAAUACGUGGUGAGAUGAGGAUUAUAAGCUCUGUAGGCCUUGACCAGCUCUAAAACUGGGUCAGGUGGAAGAGCAGGUGCUGGUGAUGGAGCAGGAGCAGGAGCUGCGUCUUUGUUUUUCUCUUCUUCCUUCUUCUCCCCCUCCUCUUUCUUGGGUUCCUCCUUCUCUUCUUCCUUCUUGGGUUCCUCUUUCUUAGCUUCCUCCUCUUUCUUGGGUUCCUCUUUCUUU